Molecule: long non-coding RNA, 2246 nt
Organism: Neopsephotus bourkii (Bourke's parrot)
Lineage: Eukaryota; Metazoa; Chordata; Aves; Psittaciformes; Psittacidae
Exons: 3
Source: RefSeq, a predicted model, not a curated record
GCGAAAAGAAGCAAACCACUGUAAGUUAAUCUCACAAGUCAUUCAGGAGCCAUUCAAUUAGUGCACUCUAUAAUUAACAGCUUACAAAACUUUCUAUGAUCUACUAAAUAAGGAGCUCGUCACACCAAAAACCAGUUUCAGUGAGUUUGGCUGGGACACAUUGGGAAGGCUCAGCUGCCAAACGUUUCCUGGAGGGCUGAGGAUCUACUUUUUGCUUUGUAUGUGGCAUGGGCUGUCUUCUCCUUUCUGCACACUGGGUUUGUAUCUGACACAAACCAGCAAAGGACAUCUCUUGUUGAGCUUUGCAGCAGAAAACCUGCCAUCAUGGGCAAUGGCAGGCAAGUUCUGUACUUAUUAAGUAAUCAUUAUACUGGCACUGGUUGCCAACGUGGUAGUUCCUUCCAGAAAAUCAAAGCAGGAAAAAUUGAACACUGCAAUCCUUUCACCUAAAUAUUUGAUCAAAAGGCAUUUGGUCUAUUCUGCUCCAUCUUGUUUUGGCUAAAUUUGGACUACUUCUCCAGGACACUUGUUAGUGCUGCUGUCUGAGUGCGUGCCCCAAGGAGGCAUGGGUCCUACAGUGGAGCAACGACAUGAUUUCAAACUGAAAUGUGCCCCAGGUCCUUCUCUUAUCUCAUACAUGAAAUGGAGGUAACAAAACUAAUCUUCGCACCUAGCGUAGGCUCUAGUGAUUUACAAUUGUGAAACGCUUUAAGAUCACUGGCUGAAAAACAGCCUCUGAAGAUGUCUUACUGUCUUGUAGUUCUUGUUAUUACUUCAAGAAAACACAACCUCUAAAACAAAUGUUCCAAAUCACUUUGAAAUAUCACAAGGCACAAGUUCCUGUUUCGGUUAGAAUAAACUAUUGUUCACAAAAGAUAGCUUUGCUGCAACAGUAGCUCAUUAUAACUGAAUGCAUUAGCUCCUUCCACACACAACUCCCUUUUCCCUUACAGGUCUAAUUACUUAACCAGGCCAGCUCUGCAUCCUUGUCAGGACAAUUAACUAGACCAAGCUAUAGCUGUAUUCUUGGCAAUGAUGAUGUAAAUACAGAGUAACCCCUUAAUACCCCUUAUACCAGCAGUCAGCCCACUGAAUCGGGAAAUCAUCUUUCUGUGGACAGCUGUUAGUGAGAAUGGCUCUUUAUUUAGCGUGUCCAUGACCUGUUCAGAGUGGUUAACAUCAACAGCAGCUGUAACCAUUUGCAGAUAAUGUUACAUAAGCACAUUUUCCGCUUCUUGACAGCAAUGUUUCUGUUCCUGUACCAAAUUUCAUGGCUGGAGUUUUUAUCAUGUUAUCUUCUUUGUUGAGCUACAGCUUUUGUAAGACAUUAGCUUGGUAUAAUUCAGUAAGUUGCUCUUCUUUUUUUAAUUAUUUUUUUUCUUUGACAGAGGGUUAUAGCUAAAUAUAGUGGAUGCGGUCACCCAGAGACGAAGAAAGCAAGAGUAUAUGCCAAGAAAAGACUAACUGAAAAAUAAACACAAACCUUAUAUGCAGAAAAUACACAGUGUAUUUGCUCUGAACCAAACACAACAACCUUCUGCCAGCUGAUGUGGCCCUUCCAGGAGCUAUAAGGAUGUGCUGUGGUUGUUAGGGGUGAUCUAAAUUCUGCUCUCAAGAGGAAGAAGUACCCACAAAAGAAACCUGUAUCAAUAAAAAGUACUGAAACCUCUUCACAUAACUGUGUGGUCUUUUACUCUGGUUACCCACAUACAUCCUGUGAAAUCAAAAUGAUUUUGAAUAGACCAAGUACAAUUGCAGUAAUGAAAGAAAAGGAGAGAAGUGGAAAUAGCUGCUUGUAGCCACCAACCUCAACUGAACAGCCUGUAAAAGAGGCUCUUUGGAUCGAUAUUUUCAUUCUAACCACCAGUUUGAAGGCGCUGCUCAUGUAUUUAUUCUGUCCCUUCUUAAUCCCAGCCACCUACUCACUGUACCCAAGCUGCUGUCAUUGUCAUUUGCAGCAGAUGCAGCAGUCACAGGCCUCACCCUGCUCGUGACCGCAGCAGUACUGCUUCAGAGCCAGCACCUAGCCAACUGCAAUAAACUUGACAUUGAGGCUCUGGCCUGACAUAUUCAUGUUCUCCAUCCCCACUGUCCCUCUAGCUGUGCUCCGCUGUGCCAAGUCCUAGUUAGCUUAAGCUGGUUCUUUCUCAUUUAAGGCUUCAUUGGAUUUUUGAGUUGUGUCAGCUUCAAUUAAUCAGAACAAAAAUAGAUAUGUAGCACAUUAAAUGAGAAGCUAACAGAGGUGU